This 215-nucleotide long non-coding RNA is filed under the name Capsicum annuum. Its description in RNAcentral is "long non-coding RNA (CANN_LNC011029)". The record is from RNAcentral. Lineage: Eukaryota; Viridiplantae; Streptophyta; Magnoliopsida; Solanales; Solanaceae.
ACACCUCCUCUCCCACGUUCCCCAUUAUUACCCAACACAAUAUAACACACACAAACACUUGAAUAAACGGAAGAAGGCAACAUAUAAAAAAGGAUCAGAAAAAGAAAACAAAGAGGGAGAAAAACAGAAUUAAGAAAAACAUUGGAAGCAAAAAAAAAAAAACAUUCUUGAGCCAACCAAAAGAAAACAAAAGACAAAAUAUAUUCCCUCCCACU